This 498-nucleotide ribosomal RNA is filed under the name uncultured bacterium. RNAcentral's name for it is "partial 16S ribosomal RNA". It matches the Rfam family "Bacterial small subunit ribosomal RNA", at positions 30 to 523 of the family's 1533-position model. The record is from RNAcentral.
AUUGAACGCUGGCGGCAUGCCUCACACAUGCAAGUCGAACGGUAACAGGUCUUCGGAUGCUGACGAGUGGCGAACGGGUGAGUAAUACAUCGGAACGUGCCCGAUCGUGGGGGAUAACGGAGCGAAAGCUUUGCUAAUACCGCAUACGAUCUACGGAUGAAAGCAGGGGACCGCAAGGCCUUGCGCGGACGGAGCGGCCGAUGGCAGAUUAGGUAGUUGGUGGGAUAAAAGCUUACCAAGCCGACGAUCUGUAGCUGGUCUGAGAGGGCGACCAGCCACACUGGGACUGAGACACGUCCCAGACUCCUAGGGGAGGCAGCAGUGGGGAAUUUUGGACAAUGGGCGAAAGCCUGAUCCAGCCAUGCCGCGUGCAGGAUGAAGGCCUUCGGGUUGUAAACUGCUUUUGUACGGAACGAAAAGGCUCUUUCUAAUAAAGAGGGUUCAUGACGGUACCGUAAGAAUAAGCACCGGCUAACUACGUGCCAGCCGCCGCGGUAA